This 773-nucleotide ribosomal RNA is filed under the name Segatella salivae. RNAcentral's name for it is "bacterial SSU rRNA". It matches the Rfam family "Bacterial small subunit ribosomal RNA", at positions 68 to 837 of the family's 1533-position model. The record is from RNAcentral. Lineage: Bacteria; Pseudomonadati; Bacteroidota; Bacteroidia; Bacteroidales; Prevotellaceae.
CGACAUUGAAGCUUGCUUCGAUGGGCGUCGACCGGCGCACGGGUGAGUAACGCGUAUCCAACCUGCCUCUGACUAAGGGAUAACCCGGCGAAAGUCGGACUAAUACCUUAUGAGGUUUUCGCAGACAUCUAAUGAAAACGAAAGAUUUAUCGGUCAGUGAUGGGGAUGCGUCUGAUUAGCUUGUUGGCGGGGUAACGGCCCACCAAGGCAACGAUCAGUAGGGGUUCUGAGAGGAAGGUCCCCCACAUUGGAACUGAGACACGGUCCAAACUCCUACGGGAGGCAGCAGUGAGGAAUAUUGGUCAAUGGGCGAGAGCCUGAACCAGCCAAGUAGCGUGCAGGAUGACGGCCCUAUGGGUUGUAAACUGCUUUUAUGUGGGGAUAAAGUGAGCUACGUGUAGUUUAUUGCAGGUACCACAUGAAUAAGGACCGGCUAAUUCCGUGCCAGCAGCCGCGGUAAUACGGAAGGUCCAGGCGUUAUCCGGAUUUAUUGGGUUUAAAGGGAGCGUAGGCCGUGGAUUAAGCGUGUUGUGAAAUGUAGACGCUCAACGUCUGAAUUGCAGCGCGAACUGGUUCACUUGAGUAUGCACAACGUAGGCGGAAUUCGUCGUGUAGCGGUGAAAUGCUUAGAUAUGACGAAGAACUCCGAUUGCGAAGGCAGCUUGCGGGAGCACAACUGACGCUGAAGCUCGAAGGUGCGGGUAUCAAACAGGAUUAGAUACCCUGGUAGUCCGCACAGUAAACGCUGGAUGCCCGUUGUUAGUUCACUUAUG